This 578-nucleotide long non-coding RNA is filed under the name Crocodylus porosus (Australian saltwater crocodile). Its description in RNAcentral is "lncRNA (ENSCPRG00005008961.1)". The record is from RNAcentral. Lineage: Eukaryota; Metazoa; Chordata; Crocodylia; Crocodylidae.
CUGGAUCCUGGUCUGGAAAAGUGUGCAUUUAGCUUCUUAAACCUGAGAGUGGUUUCAUUAUGGUCACAGCUAUUUCAGUUUUGAACAUCAUGCCUGACUAUUACAGCGCUUGACAAUGUGACCUUCAAACCCAACUUGAAAAUACUAGCAUUUGAUGGCAUUUUCCAUCAAUAGGCAGAGAUGGCUUGGUAGGUGAUUCAACUGACACUGGGCCAGGAGGUGAAAGGUUCAACUAAAGGAGUUUGGCAUGUUCCAUCUAUCAACUGAAGAGCACAAUGAGAGAAGAUGGACUGAAUUUUCUCUUUAGGCCAACCUGAAUGCAAGUGUCUAGACCUUCUACACAAGGAAGCGAACACAGAGUUUGAGAAGAUUGAGUUGGCAAUAUCCUUGGAAGAAUAUCAAAUCCAGCAUCUGAUGAGCAAAGAAAUGAAAAGCCUUCUGGAAAAAAGAAAGCUGAUAUUGCUGUAGCAGUUUCUUCUCCUUCAUAUUAAGGUAACCCCAGUGUAAGAGUCUUCACUUUUAACAACGCUAUUGUUAUCUGGUACAGGAUUCAAUUAGUGGGGUGUUAUUUUCUAUUA